CCUACGGGAGGCAGCAGUGAGGAAUAUUGGUCAAUGGACGAGAGUCUGAACCAGCCAAGUAGCGUGAAGGAUGACUGCCCUAUGGGUUGUAAACUUCUUUUAUAAAGGAAUAAAACGAGGCACGUGUGCCUUUUUGCAUGUACUUUAUGAAUAAGGAUCGGCUAACUCCGUGCCAGCAGCCGCGGUAAUACGGAGGAUCCGAGCGUUAUCCGGAUUUAUUGGGUUUAAAGGGAGCGUAGAUGGGUUGUUAAGUCAGUUGUGAAAGUUUGCGGCUCAACCGUAAAAUUGCAAUUGAGACUGGCAGUCUUGAGUACAGUUGAGGUAGGCGGAAUUCGGGGUGUAGCGGUGAAAUGCUUAGAUAUCACGAAGAACCCCGAUUGCGAAGGCAGCUUACUAAACUGUGACUGACAUUGAUGCUCGAAAGUGUGGGUAUCGAACAGGAUUAGAUACCCGUGUAGUC
Molecule: ribosomal RNA, 460 nt
Filed under: uncultured bacterium
Lineage: Bacteria
Description: partial 16S ribosomal RNA
Rfam family: Bacterial small subunit ribosomal RNA
Source: RNAcentral